Molecule: ribosomal RNA, 496 nt
Filed under: uncultured bacterium
Lineage: Bacteria
Description: partial 16S ribosomal RNA
Rfam family: Bacterial small subunit ribosomal RNA
Source: RNAcentral
GAUGAACGCUGGCGGCGUGCCUAAUACAUGCAAGUCGAGCGAACGGACGAGAAGCUUGCUUCUCUGAUGUUAGCGGCGGACGGGUGAGUAACACGUGGAUAACCUACCUAUAAGACUGGGAUAACUUCGGGAAACCGGAGCUAAUACCGGAUGAUAUAUUGAACCGCAUGGUUCAAAAGUGAAAGACGGUCUUGCUGUCACUUAUAGAUGGAUCCGCGCUGCAUUAGCUAGUUGGUAAGGUAACGGCUUACCAAGGCAACGAUGCAUAGCCGACCUGAGAGGUUGAUCGCCCACACUGAACCUGAGCCACGGCCCAGCCUCCUAGGGAAGCCGGCGGUGGGAAAUCUCCCCAAUUGGCCGAAACCUUGCCGGACCACCGCGGCGUGGGUGAUGAGGGCCUUCGAUUCGUAAACCUCUGUUAUUGGGGAAAACCAUAUGUGUAAGUACCUGUGCACUUCUUAACGUUCCCAAUCCAGAAGGCCCCGGCAACCUCCGU